RNAcentral lists this ribosomal RNA (858 nucleotides) under uncultured bacterium. Its description in RNAcentral is "SSU rRNA". It matches the Rfam family "Bacterial small subunit ribosomal RNA", at positions 524 to 1380 of the family's 1533-position model. The record is from RNAcentral.
UACGGGAGUGGCAAGCGUUAUCCGGAAUUAUUGGCCGUAAAGAGUCCGCAGGCGGACUUGUAAGUCUGUAGUUAAAGAGUGCAGCUUAACUCCAUUUCAGCAAUGGAAACUGUAAGACUAGAGUGUGGUAGGGGCAGAGGGAAUUCCCGGUGUAGCGGAGAAAUGCGUAGAUAUCGGGAAGAACACCAGUGGCGAAGGCGCUCUGCUGGCUCAUAACUGACGCUCAUGGACGAAAGCCAGGGGAGCGAAAGGGAUUAGAUACCCCUGUAGUCCUGGCCGUAAACGAUGAACACUAGGUGUCGGGGGAAUCGACCCCCUCGGUGUCGUAGCCAACGCGUUAAGUGUUCCGCCUGGGGAGUACGCACGCAAGUGUGAAACUCAAAGGAAUUGACGGGGGCCCGCACAAGCGGUGGAGUAUGUGGUUUAAUUCGAUGCAACGCGAAGAACCUUACCAGGGUUUGACAUCCUGCGAAUCUUUUGGAAACGAGAGAGUGCCUUCGGGAACGCAGUGACAGGUGGCGCAUGGCAGUCGUCAGCUCGUGUCGUGAGAUGUUGGGUUAAGUCCCGCAACGAGCGCAACCCACGUCGUUAGUUGCCAGCAUUUAGUUGGGCACUCUACCGAGACUCGCCGGUGAUAAUCCGGAGGAAGGCGUGGAUGACGUCAAGUCAUCAUGCCCCUUACAUCCUGGGCUACACACGUACUACAAUGCUACGGACAAAGGGCAGCAAACUCCCGAGAGCUAGCAAAUUCCCUAAACCGUGGCUCAGUUCAGAUCGUAGGCUGCAACUCGCCUACGUGAAGGAGGAAUCGCUAGUAAUCGCAGGUCAGCAUUCUGCGGUGAAUACGUCUCCCGGGCC